AAGAUUAAGCCAUGCAUGUCUCAGUACUUGCUUUUACAAGGCGAAACCGCGAAUGGCUCAUUAAAUCAGUUAUGGUUCAUUAGAUCGUAAAUUUUACACGGAUAACUGUGGUAAUUCUAGAGCUAAUACGUGCAAUUAGCUCGCUUCCUUGUGGAGCGAGCGCAGUUAUUAGAUCAAAACCAAUCCGGCCUUCGGGUCGGUACAAUUGGUGACUCUGAAUAACCGAAGCGGAGCGCAUGGUCUCGUACCGGCGCCAGAUCUUUCAAGUGUCUGACUUAUCAGCUUGUUGUUAGGUUACGUUCCUAACAAGGCUUCAACGGGUAACGGGGUAUCAGGGUCCGAUACCGGAGAGGGAGCCUGAGAAACGGCUACCACAUCCAAGA
This 383-nucleotide ribosomal RNA is filed under the name Macrobiotus hufelandi group sp. Its description in RNAcentral is "SSU rRNA". It matches the Rfam family "Eukaryotic small subunit ribosomal RNA", at positions 40 to 421 of the family's 1831-position model. The record is from RNAcentral. Lineage: Eukaryota; Metazoa; Tardigrada; Eutardigrada; Parachela; Macrobiotidae.